This 253-nucleotide ribosomal RNA is filed under the name uncultured bacterium. RNAcentral's name for it is "partial 16S ribosomal RNA". It matches the Rfam family "Bacterial small subunit ribosomal RNA", at positions 524 to 776 of the family's 1533-position model. The record is from RNAcentral.
UACAGAGGGGGCAAGCGUUAUUCGGAAUUAUUGGGCGUAAAGGGCGCGUAGGCGGCCUGUUAAGUCGAACGUGAAAUCCCCGGGCUCAACCCGGGAACUGCGUCCGAUACUGGCAGGCUUGAAUUCGGGAGAGGGAUGUGGAAUUCCAGGUGUAGCGGUGAAAUGCGUAGAUAUCUGGAGGAACACCGGUGGCGAAGGCGGCAUCCUGGACCGAUAUUGACGCUGAUGCGCGAAAGCCAGGGGAGCAAACGGG